RNAcentral lists this ribosomal RNA (120 nucleotides) under Parastagonospora nodorum SN15. Lineage: Eukaryota; Fungi; Ascomycota; Dothideomycetes; Pleosporales; Phaeosphaeriaceae. The record is from RNAcentral.
ACAUACGACCAUAGGAUACUGGAUGCUAGGCUUCCCGUCCGCUCAGCCAUAUAUAAGCAGUAUACCGGCGGAUUAGUAGUCAGGUGGGUGACCACUGGCGAAUCCCCGCUGUUGUAUGUU